RNAcentral lists this ribosomal RNA (503 nucleotides) under uncultured bacterium. RNAcentral describes it as "bacterial SSU rRNA". It matches the Rfam family "Bacterial small subunit ribosomal RNA", at positions 15 to 507 of the family's 1533-position model. The record is from RNAcentral.
GAUCCUGGCUCAGAGUGAACGCUGGCGGCAGGCCUAACACAUGCAAGUCGAACGGCAGCACAGUGGAGCUUGCUCCAUGGGUGGCGAGUGGCGGACGGGUGAGGAAUACAUCGGAAUCUGCCCAGUCGUGGGGGAUAACAUAGGGAAACUUAUGCUAAUACCGCAUACGACCUACGGGUGAAAGCGGGGGAUCGCAAGACCUCGCGCGAUUGGAUGAGCCGAUGUCCGAUUAGCUAGUUGGCGGGGUAAUGGCCCACCAAGGCGACGAUCGGUAGCUGGUCUGAGAGGAUGAUCAGCCACACUGGAACUGAGACACGGUCCAGACUCCUACGGGAGGCAGCAGUGGGGAAUAUUGGACAAUGGGCGCAAGCCUGAUCCAGCCAUGCCGCGUGGGUGAAGAAGGCCUUCGGGUUGUAAAGCCCUUUUGUCCGGAAAGAAACGCCUCGGAUUAAUACUCUGGGGUAAUGACGGUACCGGAAGAAUAAGCACCGGCUAACUUCGUG